AACGAACGCUGGCGGCGUGGAUAAGACAUGCAAGUCGAACGCUGAUUACGGGAUAGCAAUAUUUCGUAGUUGGAGUGGCGUAAGGGUGCGUAACACGUGGGCAAUCUGCCAUGAAGUCCGGGAUAACCUGCUGAAAGGCGAGCUAAUACCGGAUGUGAAAAUCGAAAGGCAUUUUUUGAUUUUCAAAGUUGGGGACCGAAAGGCCUGACGCUUCAUGAUGAGCCCGCGGCCUAUCAGCUAGUUGGUGAGGUAACGGCCCACCAAGGCUAAGACGGGUAGCUGGUCUGAGAGGACGACCAGCCACACUGGAACUGAGACACGGUCCAGACACCUACGGGUGGCUG
This 344-nucleotide ribosomal RNA is filed under the name uncultured Verrucomicrobiota bacterium. RNAcentral's name for it is "bacterial SSU rRNA". It matches the Rfam family "Bacterial small subunit ribosomal RNA", at positions 29 to 351 of the family's 1533-position model. The record is from RNAcentral. Lineage: Bacteria; Pseudomonadati; Verrucomicrobiota.